AUUGAACGCUGGCGGCAUGCCUUACACAUGCAAGUCGAACGGUAACAGGUCUUCGGAUGCUGACGAGUGGCGAACGGGUGGGUAAUACAUCGGAACGUGCCUAGUAGUGGGGGAUAACUACUCGAAAGAGUGGCUAAUACCGCAUGAGAUCUACGGAUGAAAGCAGGGGAUCGCAAGACCUUGUGCUACUAGAGCGGCCGAUGGCAGAUUAGGUAAUUGGUGGGAUAAAAGCUUACCAAGCCGACGAUCUGUAGCUGGUCUGAGAGGACGAUCAGCCACACUGGGACUGAGACACGGCCCAGACUACUACGGGAGGCAGCAGUGGGGAAUUUUGGACAAUGGGCGAAAGCCUGAUCCAGCAAUGCCGCGUGCAGGAUGAAGGCCUUCGGGUUGUAAACUGCCUUUGUACGGAACGAAAAGCCCCGGGUUAAUACCCUGGGGUCAUGACGGUACCGUAAGAAUAAGCACCGGCUAACUACGUGCCAGCCGCCGCAGUAA
Molecule: ribosomal RNA, 498 nt
Filed under: uncultured bacterium
Lineage: Bacteria
Description: partial 16S ribosomal RNA
Rfam family: Bacterial small subunit ribosomal RNA
Source: RNAcentral